Molecule: non-coding RNA, 150 nt
Filed under: Paenibacillus sp.
Lineage: Bacteria; Bacillati; Bacillota; Bacilli; Caryophanales; Paenibacillaceae
Also listed under: 1 other name
Description: FMN sequence
Rfam family: FMN riboswitch aptamer (RFN element)
About the family: The RFN element is a highly conserved domain that is found frequently in the 5'-untranslated regions of prokaryotic mRNAs that encode for flavin mononucleotide (FMN) biosynthesis and transport proteins. This element is a metabolite-dependent riboswitch that directly binds FMN in the absence of proteins.
Source: RNAcentral
CAAGAUUCUCGGGGUAAGGUGAAAUUCCUGACCGGCGGUGAUGUUCAAAGCGAACUCAGCCCGCGACUCCUUCUCGCUGUCAGCAGCGGAAAGGACUGAUCUGGUGACAUUCCAGAGCCGACGGUAAAGUCCGGAUGGGAGAGGAUCAUA